CCCUCCCGCACACGCCGCGGCACUCGGCGGCGAGCGGCGGCUCAGCCAUGUGCCCGUGCGCGCUGCGCGGGGCCGGGGCCCGAGCUGGGCCGGCCGCCGCCUGGCCGCCGCCGUAUGCCUGCUGUGCGCCCUCACGCCCGCGGUCGCGCUGGCCUGGCUGAUCCGCAAGAGGAGCCUCUAGGCGAGACGGGCGCUGGCCGGAGCGGGGAGCAGGCGGGACGCGCAACAGGCUGGAGAAAACCCUGUGCCCUUGGAGAAAAUUGUUUCCCCUCUUCCUACAGGGAAUCCAGAGCCUGAGCAGCAGCUGUGAAGAGUGGAGAUAAAGAAAGAAGUGGAAGAUGUUGGAAGAGCUUUGGGCAACGUGAAGAAGGAUUUGCACUGAAGGAGCUGUUCAAGGGCCCAGCCGCAAAACAGAGACACAUACAUGCUUAUAUAUAGAAGAAUGUAAACCCUCCUGUAUGCAUACGUUAAAACGUGCAUGCCUUGUUGAGAACGUAAGCAACAUUCCUUGUAGAUGAUGGUGGUAUGAGCAUUUGUGCUCCUGCAGUCUGAGUCAAGAGAUUAGUGAUGUCCCUGCUGUGAUGCUAGCGUUGUCUCCCCUGCACCUUGUCUAUGGUGGCAUAAGUGUCCCUUUCGAUGCAGCAAGCAAGAGAAAGUAGAUACACAUCUGGAGGUAAAUAAUAUCUGCUGCAACGUGGGCAUGUUGUAACCGUGGCGGUGGGGGAAGAGGUGCUGAGCAGCUCGGACAGCAGACAGUUUGUGUGUGUAUAUAUUAAGCUCUAUAGCACCAGGUGAGAUAAGCUUUUCUUACGGUUUUUGUUUCUCUGGUGCUACAUUUACUAUUUGUCUGGGGCUUGAUUGCCUCUCUGUGGUGCUACAGUUUCCCCAAGAGGAUGUUCUGAAACAUGGGACAAGGAGAAAUCUAUUUUGGUUAUUGAUAUUUAUACACAAAAGAGCAAAAAAUACUACUUGUUGAGAAGGUGCUAUUUUUUUUUUCUUUCUUUCAGCCUCUGCGUAAACGAAGGCAAAACAAACCAUCCCGCUCAGAGCUGUACAGAACUGAUUUUCUUUGGGGCAGCUCUUUCUCUUGGCGCGGUUCUGAGCUUGGGAAGCAGCGUUCACGGAGGUGGUGAGGACACAGCAGCUCCUGUCACAGCUGUGUCCACAUCAAAGUCUGCUACUGCAGAACCUCCCGGAUGGGGGUGUAGGCAGUCCUCAACUCCUGUGAUCCAGGGAAAAGAGUUACAUCUGGGCUCAGCAGGAGACUCGUUGGCAGUGAUCCUUACGCACAUUUUUUAGAAACAUUUUUCCCAGCUUUGGAUAUUUGCAGCACAAAAUUGACCUUCACGUGGCAGGGGGGACUUCCAAAGGCAUACAGGGAUGUUAUAGGAGUUCAGUUUCUAAAGUAGGUUCCUUGUCUUUUAAAGACACUUCCUAACCUGCAACCAAUCAAGGAGCAAACUGCUCCAUCCCUGUCAGACUUUCGGUUUGUCGCUACUGCAGGAGAAAUGUUUCUAAGCAAUCUAAAAGCUAAAUUGUCUCUUUAUCAAAUAUUCACCAAUGUGUUUUGGGCACCUGCACACAUAUUCAUGGGGAAUAUUGAUCCGAGUCAGUUCCCAAACAGCAGAAGGGCUACGCUGAAAGCGCAAAUUGUUCCUAAUGAGUAACCUUGCCCUACUUUAUAUCAUGUGCAGUGGUGGGAGGGAUCAUGUAGCUAAGUGUAUUUUGUCUGUGGGUAGAGUGUGGAUGGCCUCAGAGCCGCAGGGAUUAGCCACCCAUCAAACACUGUUCUGCCACUUGUGGCCUGAUGCAUCCCACGUCCCUGCCCGGCUCAGUCUCCUACUGAUCUAAGUAAGAAUUCUUCUAGCAAAAGGAGGAGCCCCAGCUGAUUUCAGCAGUGCUGCAAGGAUUAGUGACUGCCGGAUCAGGUACAGCCUAAAAAACACAGUUUUCUGCAAAAAAGCCAGGGGAGCUGGCUUACACAUCUCAGUGCAAGACAGAGGGCUCUCCCACAUUCCCCUCACCCUAAACAGUUAUUACUAGCUCCUGAGAUCUGAAUGUUUAUAAUAAACUUCUAACCUGGAAUAUGCAUUAUUACUUUUUCCCUUCUCUCUCCUGUGCAGUUUGCACUGGGCUGCUUUCCCUUCCUUGCUGGCUCUCCCAGCCUGCAGCCUGGAGACUUGUAGCAUCCCUCCCAGGUGGCACUUCCCCUGAAACACUGCAGCACGGCAAAGGAAGGAGAAAGUUCUGUUCUUACCAUAUUGUUACUAUGGUAAGUGUACUGUGGUACACCUUGGGAAAGCCCCUUCAGUCAGUGACAGCCUAAGAGGGACUGCCUCACGUUCCUCAGUCUGAACUCACCACGGACAGGCUUUUCUGCAGAGCAGACAAACCAAACCACAAGCAAACCAACAGAAACAAAGUGGAUCUCCCAGGGGAUCUCUUCCCUGGUUGCUCCCAGCGCUCAGCCCCAAUGGCCGGAGAUGCAGUGCCUGCUGUUACCCUCCUGGGACAACAGCCAAACCCGUGGUGCUUCCCAGGCGUAGGCGAGAGCAGGAAUGGAACCCAGUCCUGUUUUCAUCCUGACUGACUUCACUUUUGUAGUUCUGAAUUGGGUGUUCAGUGUGAACCAAGGGUUAACUUUUAGAGAUGUUGAUCUAUUAGUUGCUGGUCAAGCAAGCUUUGUCAUGGAACAGCCUCCCAGCACCUUAUAGCCAGCACUCGCUGUACAGAAAUGGCAUUACUUAUUAGAGGGUAUCUAUUUGUCAAAGCCUUACGUUUUCUGGUAUAAUUGCUAUUCUUGAAUGCCUCCGUUUUUUGAAGAGGGGUGUUUUUAUCCUUUUUAAAAUGCCUGCUCUCAACCUGGUUGAUGUUUGUACUGGACAGGAAGGCACGCUGUGUGCUCCCCUACUGCCCUUCGUGCCGCAUCGCAGCGGCUGCGUGAGCUGCUACUGAUGGGAAGGAAACCAGCACAGUUCCUCUCUCUCCCACUCGCUCCUCUCCUCUCUUUGUUUUUUUACAGCAGCCAAGAAGUCAUUGAUUUUGAUUAGCUCUGCAGUUGUGCCUCCACGAAGACUGGGGAGUGCUCUCUAAAGGCAAAAAAAAAAAGCCCUCAUCUUGGGUUUCAGCAGCCGGCGCGUGCGAAGCCGGAGGAGGAGGAGGUUAUGAGAUCAUAGUCUAUAUAGAACGCCGCAUAAUGUGGCUGUGAGAAAAGUCUUUAUUAAUUUUUAAAGCUGCACUCCAGCAAAGCAGCUCCCGACACAUAGCAGGAUUUCACAGUUCAAGUUAAAGCAGCCGUGCAGUGCAGACUGCUCAUCAGCUGCCCUCCCCGCCUGGUAAACUCACUUGGCCGCACGGAUUCUGCUGACAGACAGCUGUGUUACACCCAGGACAGAACCGAGCCCAUCCAGAUUCCUCCUGAGAAUGACUGUAGGUAGGUAAGGAAAUAGGGAAUGGGAGCUCCACCCCUGCAGUGUGCAGGACGGCAGUGCCUGCUGUCUCGUGCCCGGGACAAAUGCCACCCAAUAGCAGUGCAGAGCAGAUCAGCCAUCGGCGAGCUGACAGCCACGGGGAGUGAGAAACCCAUCCUGCUUCUGCUUCAGCGCAUGUUGGCAUGCAGGAAUGAUCCCAGUUUAGCCCAGCCCAUUACUCAAGCAAUUGUCUUAAAUCAGAAACACUUGUUAGAUCAGCUUAAUCCGAUCUGCGGAGUCGUUUAGUUUCCAUAUCGUGCUAAAAUUAUACGAGGCUUAACUGCGCCGCAGAAGCAGCAGCAGCAGCACUCUUUCUGCUGAAAGUGAUUGGAAACAUCUGGUGUCAGCUGGUUGCUGUGUCUGCAGGCACUGAGGAGCCAGGCCUGUCCCUGCCAUGCUAGCACAGAGCCACGCACUCAGGCUGCUGUGGCCACAGCCCUCGUGGGCAGAGCAGGAGAGCAGCACCCGCCAUGGGGCAGUGCGGGAAGGGGAUGCGAACCCAAAGGAGAUCCUUCCCUUCUGCACGCCGUGUCACUGCACACAACGGCUAUGGUCAGACGGCACAACACAUCUCCCUUCGUAUGUAUUUCUCAUUUUCCUACACGUUGUUUUAAGACAGCUGUCCUAAUCUCAACAGAAGGCUGAGUUAUAUAUAGCCAACUACCUAUGGCUCCAAAUGGGCGCCUGUCAGUUUGCAGGCUCUGUUCUGCCUCCACCGCAGGCUGAGCGGUGUCCUCACAGCUCUUCUUAGGGCAGAUCUGAUUUGGAAUCGAAGCUGCACAGUUCAGUCCCCUAGCUCACUGCUCUCUGUAUGCUGAGCUAAACUGCCUCUCGUCUCCUUACAAAUAUUAGGAGGCACCGGCACGUGCACUCAGAAUCCGAGGGCUGAGGCGAGUCUGAAUCAAACAGGACUUCAUCUUCUCUAGGAAAACCCUUGUCUGAAUGGCGGAGAGGCAUCUGCCUUCCCCCCGGAAUCUGCCCUGCUCUGACCACACAAGCCCUUUACAUUCAGUGUUCAGCACAGCUUUAUUGCUGCCCCACCAUAAGGCGUUAGAGCUUCUCCCCCGCCUGUCCUCCCGGCUGGAGUCCCACUCCGGCUGCACGCAGCCAUUCUCCAUCAGGACGCACUCCCAGACGUGGCUCUUCUUUCAGUACUUCAAUUUCCCAGGGUUUGCAGUGUUUACAGAAUGUGACUUUGGAGCUUGACAGACACCGAUGGUGUCUGUGCCUGGAACUGUUGGUCUCCUCCCAUUAGUGGUUACAGCUGCCACAGAACUGCACCGGGCGCUGUGUCUGGGGAUGUUCACAGCACGGCCUUUCCAAUCACUCCAGUUUGGCAAAAGAAAUCUCCCCCUUAACUCCAAUCCUUGGGACAUUUGAUGAGUGGCCGGUCUGCUCCUGGAUGCAUUUCUAACCGAACAAAAGAGAUGAGAUGCACGGAGUACACAGUUCCUUGCGCAGGUCUGGUUGGCACGGCUCACAUGUAAGCUCUUGCAGAGGCACUGUGCAAGUUUCCACCCUCAGAAAAGCAAGAGCAAAGUGUACGCCUGCUGGUGAUACAGAUUCACAAAGUCUCCUGUUUGUAGUUGGAUGUGGCUUCUCUCUUUUGUAAAAGGAAUUUCAUAUGCUGAGACUCUUUGUACAUAUUUAUAAUGACUUUAUUAAAAAAAAAAGAAAAACUACUGUUCAAUGGCAAAA
Molecule: long non-coding RNA, 5168 nt
Filed under: Gallus gallus (chicken)
Lineage: Eukaryota; Metazoa; Chordata; Aves; Galliformes; Phasianidae
Source: RNAcentral